Ovis aries (sheep) is the source of this 72-nucleotide transfer RNA. It matches the Rfam family "tRNA". From Rfam's summary of the family: Transfer RNA (tRNA) molecules are approximately 80 nucleotides in length. Their secondary structure includes four short double-helical elements and three loops (D, anti-codon, and T loops). The record is from Rfam. NCBI's taxonomy places the organism in Eukaryota, Metazoa, Chordata, Mammalia, Artiodactyla, Bovidae.
UCCUGGGUGGCUCAGACAGUAAAGAAUCUGCCUGUAAUGCAGGAGUCCCAGGUUCGAUCCCUGGGUCGAGAA